Molecule: long non-coding RNA, 2313 nt
Organism: Scylla paramamosain (green mud crab)
Lineage: Eukaryota; Metazoa; Arthropoda; Malacostraca; Decapoda; Portunidae
Exons: 5
Source: RefSeq, a predicted model, not a curated record
UCUGUGAAGCUCAAGUCGUGCUCUUCAGAAAACUCGAGAACAAACCUAGACGAGGAUAAUUUUCUAUCAGUCAAAUGAUUCACAAUGCAUGUUACAACUAUGAGUUAAUUUUCCCGUAAAAAUCAAGGUGUUUUUACAAAGGAGGAACAUAAUUUCUGAGCCUAACAAUAUAUGGCCAAGCGGUACAACACUGGCACCAACAUCAGUCUGUGCGUGUGUACUGAGUAGUGACUACGUGGACAGGCUAUGAAGACUCUUUACUAUGGCGGCUGGCAGCAGGAGCGUCAAGGAAGUGGAGGGAAAUCUAUCUGGGGACGAGAUAGAUUGGCCGGAAGACGUCCUCGCCAGGGAGUGGGGCCAGGCUGGACACUCAAGGAAACAGAAGCCUGACACGUUACCAAUCAAAUCAUAAAUAUUUAAUACCAAGAUUUUGUCUCACAAGAAUGGCUGAUCCAUCGUGCAUCUCCUCGCUGGAAUUAAUAAGCUGUGCGGGAAGCCUGGCCCUGCUGCUCGCCCCUCCUGCGUGCCUCCGUGCCUCUGCCUUGCAUCCCCUGCCUCUCCUACGAUGCUAGUAUGUUGAGAGAGGCUGAGCAUCGGAAAGGAUGCGGUUUGGAGUGAAGUGCUGCUCUCCUCCCUCAAGUAGAGUCCUCAAAACAAAGUCAAAAGUAUGAGCGGGUGUUUGAUGUUGAAGGUUCACGAUAAAGAAAUUAGUAAUGGUCUUUUUUUUUUCUCUGUUGAAAAGGGGAGCGAGUUAUUAAGGGAACUAGGGAUGAGACAUUGAGAUUUCCAGGAAUGGCAGGCUGGGUCGCGUUUCCGUUAUAGUGUCAGUGCGGGAUGUUAGCGGAGCGGCGAGCAGCACGUGGCGUGAUCAAUACUUCUCAGCAUAGACUGUUCACGGCUCGCUCCUCUCCGGCGCGCGAGACUUGUCCAUAAAACCAAAUACAGACUAGUUUUAGAUGAUGACCGCAAAAAGCAGAAUUCUCGACUCAAGAAACUAUGCCAUUCGCCUCCCUGAUCAUUAUAUGCACUGCCCUCGCUGAUGACCCGCCUGCUUCCUGCCAGUCCGGCGCGGCGACGCUGGAGGCACAGGGCGGCAGCAGAAUGUUUAGGUGCGAUGAGCGAAACUUCUUGAAUAACCACGACGUGUGACGCGGUGGGCCUGACAAACGUUUGGAGUGCUAGAGUUAGAUACUCAUGAAUCCUUUGUUUGAGGCAGUAAAUGCCAUUGUGUGGGGCGCACCGGGUCGCCGCAUUCACCACUCUCCGAGGUACAGUUCACCAAUGUUGACCUGGAAAAUUGGAGUUUUGUGUGCUGCUUUUUUUUCUAUUUUGUUUUUUAGGUGGAUGGAAUUGACAGAAAAUAUGUGAACGUGAUUUUUUUUGUCUUUACACACACACACACACACACACCAAGCAGGACACGGGGCGCCUCAGGGGACGGUAUCUGGCUAGUGACGAAGAGGAACCAGCCACACGAGAGGCAGAUGGACGGCCGGACUGAUAAGACUGAGGAGGAGGAGGAGGAGGAGGAGGAGGAGGAGGAGGGCGAAGCGGGAGGCAGGCGGCGCGGUGGUGGUAUGUUGGAGGGCAGCAGCAGCAAGGCAGACACGGCGGAGUGACCAGGGAGGAGCAGCGGGAGUGCGGUCAGCGGCGACGGUCCCGGGGGUCCUUCAGCACCGAGGAAAUGGGAGUCUAUACGGUUGGGAAAAUUCACCCUUAUUACGUUUAGGAUCACUGAGGGGUUAGUCCUGUGUGAUCUCGGCCCUGUGAGCUUCUGGGGACGUCUCACUGGAACAUCUUACUGACGAAGGGAGGGAAAAAAAAGUAGAAUUACAUAAAAGCCUGAAUUCGUUUUUAUGAAGGCCGCUAUCUCCUCUGGUCAGGUUGCAGAACGGUAAAGGAUCCAAAGCCUUUUAUAUGGUACGGGAAUGCUUUUUUCCUACUAAGGGUAUGGGAUUUGGCUCUCCAGAUGUCACUCUCCCGGAGCUCUUAUCUCUCCAGCGCAGCGAGGUAUGUGGCACGGCGCAAAAGAAGGAACUGGAGAUACGAGGGACAUUAUUAGCAACGAUCCAUUGGUUCUCAGGCCGUGGGCAACGAGUGUUAGGUCUUUCCAUGAGAACCUGCCCCUGAUGCUGGCCACUCGAGUAGGAGCCGCCGCUACUGGACCUUCUCCUCCUCCUCCUCCUCGGCAAAUGUGUAGUAAUUUCACUCUUUCCCUGAUGUCUCGUUUGUGCGAUCUAUAAUUCAGUGUCGUGACUUGCUCUAGGGAACACGCCCUCUCCCUGUAUUGCUCUUUUUUCUUUAAUUUCUUUU